Ipomoea nil (Japanese morning glory) is the source of this 152-nucleotide long non-coding RNA. RefSeq lists it as uncharacterized. The transcript has 3 exons. The record is from RefSeq and is a predicted model, not a curated record. Lineage: Eukaryota; Viridiplantae; Streptophyta; Magnoliopsida; Solanales; Convolvulaceae.
ACUCCCAUUUCUCAAAGGUGAGUACGAAAUAUGUGAGGUAUGGCUAUGGUUUAGGCCUAUUCUCAUAGGUGAAUCACCAAUUCCAAAUAUCUCUUGCAUAAUUUGGCCAUAACUAUGAAAGAUUCCAUUCAAUUUCAUCCAAUUCAUAACCA